Long non-coding RNA from Paramisgurnus dabryanus, 222 nucleotides. RefSeq lists it as uncharacterized. NCBI's taxonomy places the organism in Eukaryota, Metazoa, Chordata, Actinopteri, Cypriniformes, Cobitidae. The record is from RefSeq and is a predicted model, not a curated record.
CAGCAAAAUAAUGCAGACAAGGUGGAGAACAUGGAGGUGGAGACUAGUUUAUCAUCUCCACCUUCACCUCCAGAUGGCUCAACCGCUCCGGUUGCGCCUCCUCAGCCAUAGCUGUCUUCGUCGUCUCAGGAUGAGAUAGAGCCGACGCCAAAGAGGGCCAGUCUAAAUGGGCUGUCAGAUCAGGUCAUGCCUCCUCAGGCCCAGACGCCAUCGUCCUCUCAG